Molecule: ribosomal RNA, 391 nt
Filed under: uncultured bacterium
Lineage: Bacteria
Description: bacterial SSU rRNA
Rfam family: Bacterial small subunit ribosomal RNA
Source: RNAcentral
AACGAACGCUGGCGGCGUGGUUCAGGCAUGCAAGUCGAACGAUCUCGCAAGAGAUAGUGGCAGAAGGGUGCGUAACACGUGGGUAAUCUACCCUCGAAUUGGGGAUAACCCAUCGAAAGAUGGGCUAAUACCGAAUGACAUUACCGGAUCAUAAGGUUUGGUAAUUAAAUGUGGCUCGCAAGAGCUGCGGUUUGAGGAGGAGCCCGCGGCCUAUCAGCUAGUUGGUGAGGUAACGGCUCACCAAGGCUUUUGACGGUAGCUGGUCUAAGAGGACGGUCAGCCACAUUGGGACUGAGACACUGCCCAGACUCCUACGGGAGGCUGCAGUCGAGGAUCUUUAGCAAUGCCCGAAAGGGUGACUAUGCGACGCCGCGUGGAGAUGAAGGCCUGG